This 268-nucleotide long non-coding RNA is filed under the name Oryza brachyantha (malo sina). Its description in RNAcentral is "long non-coding RNA (OBRA_LNC002544)". Lineage: Eukaryota; Viridiplantae; Streptophyta; Magnoliopsida; Poales; Poaceae. The record is from RNAcentral.
GUGCCUUGGAGGAUCUUCCCUUAUGUGUAUUAAUCCAAAGAUUUUGCCCAGCAAUUGCAUCGUUGUAGAGCCUAGUGCAGUGGGCGUUGUUGUGAUACCUGAACAUGUAAAAUUCACCUAGAUGUUGUGAUACCUGAACAUGUAAGAUUCACCUAGAUGUUGUGAUACUUGAACAUGAAAGAUUCACUAGGCAGCUUCGUCUUUCCGAUAGCCGACUCAGCGGGACGAUACCGAAUGCAUGUUGCCAAAUUAAUCUUGAGCAUCUGGC